RNAcentral lists this ribosomal RNA (301 nucleotides) under uncultured bacterium. Its description in RNAcentral is "partial 16S ribosomal RNA". It matches the Rfam family "Bacterial small subunit ribosomal RNA", at positions 509 to 807 of the family's 1533-position model. The record is from RNAcentral.
CAGUAGCCGCGGGAAUACGUAGGGUGCGAACGUUAAUCGGAAUUACUGGGCGUAAAGCGUGCGCAGGCGGUUGUGUAAGACAGGUGUGAAAUCCCCGGGCUUAACCUGGGAACUGCGCUUGUGACUGCACAGCUAGAGUAUGGCAGAGGGGGGUGGAAUUCCACGUGUAGCAGUGAAAUGCGUAGAGAUGUGGAGGAACACCGAUGGCGAAGGCAGCCCCCUGGGCCAAUACUGACGCUCAUGCACGAAAGCGUGGGGAGCAAACAGGAUUAGAUACCCCUGUAGUCCCUGUCUCUUAUAC